RNAcentral lists this small RNA (69 nucleotides) under Flavobacterium xanthum. RNAcentral describes it as "Flavo-1 RNA". It matches the Rfam family "Flavo-1 RNA". Lineage: Bacteria; Pseudomonadati; Bacteroidota; Flavobacteriia; Flavobacteriales; Flavobacteriaceae. The record is from RNAcentral.
CCCUAGCCCCGAUUAAAGCGGCAUCCCACGCUUUUUUUUGCGUGGAUAUAGCGUAAAGCGGGAAAUAGC